RNAcentral lists this ribosomal RNA (691 nucleotides) under uncultured bacterium. RNAcentral's name for it is "partial 16S ribosomal RNA". It matches the Rfam family "Bacterial small subunit ribosomal RNA", at positions 140 to 851 of the family's 1533-position model. The record is from RNAcentral.
GGGAUAGCCGCCCGAAAGGACGGGUAAUACCGGAUACCCCCGGGCGCCGCAUGGCGCCCGGGCUAAAGCCCCGACGGGAGGGGAUGGCUCCGCGGCCCACCAGGUAGACGGCGGGGUGACGGCCCACCGUGCCGACAACGGGUAGCCGGGUUGAGAGACCGACCGGCCAGAUUGGGACUGAGACACGGCCCAGACUCCUACGGGAGGCAGCAGUGGGGAAUCUUGCGCAAUGGGGGGAACCCUGACGCAGCGACGCCGCGUGCGGGACGGAGGCCUUCGGGUCGUAAACCGCUUUCAGCAGGGAAGAGUCAAGACUGUACCUGCAGAAGAAGCCCCGGCUAACUACGUGCCAGCAGCCGCGGUAAUACGUAGGGGGCGAGCGUUAUCCGGAUUCAUUGGGCGUAAAGCGCGCGUAGGCGGCCCGGCAGGCCGGGGGUCGAAGCGGGGGGCUCAACCCCCCGAAGCCCCCGGAACCUCCGCGGCUUGGGUCCGGUAGGGGAGGGUGGAACACCCGGUGUAGCGGUGGAAUGCGCAGAUAUCGGGUGGAACACCGGUGGCGAAGGCGGCCCUCUGGGCCGAGACCGACGCUGAGGCGCGAAAGCUGGGGGAGCGAACAGGAUUAGAUACCCUGGUAGUCCCAGCCGUAAACGAUGGACGCUAGGUGUGGGGGGACGAUCCCCCCGUGCCGCAG